RNAcentral lists this ribosomal RNA (948 nucleotides) under uncultured bacterium. RNAcentral's name for it is "bacterial SSU rRNA". It matches the Rfam family "Bacterial small subunit ribosomal RNA", at positions 40 to 1000 of the family's 1533-position model. The record is from RNAcentral.
CGGCAGGCCUAAUACAUGCAAGUCGAACGGUGGUAGCAAUACCAUAGUGGCGCACGGGUGCGUAACGCGUAGGCAAUCUGCCUACACCUGGGGGAUAGCCCGCCGAAAGGUGGAUUAAUACCGCAUAACACCACAGCACGGCAUCGUGCAAUGGUUAAAGAAUUUCGGGUGUAGAUGAGCCUGCGUGCCAUUAGCUAGUUGGCGGGGUAAGGGCCCACCAAGGCGACGAUGGCUAGGGGAGCUGAGAGGCCGAUCCCCCACACUGGCACUGAGAUACGGGCCAGACUCCUACGGGAGGCAGCAGUAGGGAACAUUGGGCAAUGGGCGCGAGCCUGACCCAGCCAUGCCGCGUGACGGAUGAAGGCCUUCUGGGUUGUAAACGUCUUUUGCCCGGGAAGAAAAAACUCUUGCGAGAGGAAUCGACGGUACCGGGUGAAUAAGCACCGGCUAACUCCGUGCCAGCAGCCGCGGUAAUACGGAGGGUGCAAGCGUUGUCCGGAUUUAUUGGGUUUAAAGGGUGCGUAGGUGGCCCUGCAAGUCCGUGGUGAAAGCCUGCCGCUUAACGGCAGAACUGCCAUGGAUACUACAGGGCUUGAGUCCAGACGAGGUUGGCGGAAUGGAUGGUGUAGCGGUGAAAUGCAUAGAUACCAUCCAGAACCCCGAUUGCGUAGGCAGCUGACUAGGCUGGUACUGACACUGAGGCACGAAAGCGUGGGGAGCGAACAGGAUUAGAUACCCUGGUAGUCCACGCCGUAAACGAUGGAUACUCGCUGUGGGCGAUACACAGUCCGCGGCUUAGCGAAAGCGUUAAGUAUCCCACCUGGGGAGUACGCCGGCAACGGUGAAACUCAAAGGAAUUGACGGGGGCCCGCACAAGUGGUGGAGCAUGUGGUUUAAUUCGAUGAUACGCGAGGAACCUUACCGAGGCUAGAAUGCGCGUGACCGGUU